UCCCCGUAGCAGUGUCAAUGGAAUCACAGAGAGAAGCAAGGAUAAAGGUAGAACAAAAGCAGCUGCCUUUCUUUACAGUGCAUCUGUGAAAUGGACUGUUAAGCAUUACUGCCUGAAACCCAGUCAGGGGAUGGGCACUUCACUUUGAAGCCACCAAGUCGAAAGUGCUAUUGGAUGAAACUCUGCUCUACUGAACCAUGAAAUGGGUUUUCAAAGGGGCCGAGAAUGAUAGACGUGUGAGCUGUCAGUAAAACUGUCUCACCAGAGUGGCAACAUUCAUAAUGAAGCAGAAGGAAGUGCUACCAUGUGAUGGGCAUCUGUCCAAGUCACCCACAGAGCCAGGCCAAAUUGCAAUCAGAGGAGUGUUCCAAGGAGCCCAGAGGAGCAUCAGUGCCCUGCAUCUGUCCAUAGCCUCUUCAUUUAGACAUGUGGGUACAGAAAUGAAAAGCUACGGACAGGCAGUUUUAAGUCCCUUGCUGUGUAUGUCUGCAUAGACAUAGUCAUUUAAAGCUAGAGCUGUUUUCCGACUUUAAGCAUCAACU
This is a long non-coding RNA of Nannospalax galili (Upper Galilee mountains blind mole rat), 542 nucleotides long. RefSeq lists it as uncharacterized. Lineage: Eukaryota; Metazoa; Chordata; Mammalia; Rodentia; Spalacidae. The transcript is spliced from 3 exons. The record is from RefSeq and is a predicted model, not a curated record.